Ctenopharyngodon idella (grass carp) is the source of this 12822-nucleotide long non-coding RNA. RefSeq lists it as uncharacterized. NCBI's taxonomy places the organism in Eukaryota, Metazoa, Chordata, Actinopteri, Cypriniformes, Xenocyprididae. The record is from RefSeq and is a predicted model, not a curated record. The transcript is spliced from 5 exons.
AUCAACAGAUAUUGGGAAACUGCAUGCUUUUUUGCUCCUUUUUUACAUUUAUAUUUCCAUUACUGCCAUCUAACCAUCACUUAGAGUUAAUCUUUAGAAACUUAAUAAUGUAUUAACACUGUUAAAUGUAAUCUUUAGACAAUCUGAACAUACAAAAGCUUAAAAUGGCAAUACAGUGUAUUUUAAUGUUUAUUCUAGUGUGACACCUGGACCCAUACUUCCAUUAGGUCCAUUACUCUCAAAAAUCCGUCGGUUUAUAAACUGACAGAUGAUUCUGGCCUAAUCGACAGCAUGCCACAAAUAGCGUAAACUUUUGUUAAAUCUGGAGAUUAAAUACAAUUUUGAAUUUACCUCUACAUUCCACAGUAUGUGUGUUUUUGCUCUGUGUUUGGUCACGUAUUCACCCUUAAAGCUUGUUAUAAAGGUGCUUUCUUUCAUUCACCUGGUCUGCUGUUCUGGCCAGACACCACCUCCUGUCUUAAUCCAGCAGUAUGGUGUGUGUUUUAAAACCAGAUUGUGGCUGUGUAGUGUCAUGGACCUCAGGAGCUGGAGACUGGGUCCCCUUGGGUAAAGGCCAAUUUCCCCCAGAGCUCCCUCCUCACUUCCUUACCAGCCCCUGCGCAGGACUAUCUGAACAACACUACAAGUUCAAAGAGUCAGUAGUGCACUGCCACAGAGCAGCACAGGUUAAUUGGCCCUACAGGCAACAGCACUGCUGCCUUAAGUAAAUAAACCUGUGUGUAAAGCUCCAUUUUGCACCAUAUUUUUAUAACAAGUUUUCAAAUGUUAACCUUUAUGACAUGCAGGUAAAAGGCUCUUACUGUCCCGGUAAAAUGAUGCUCAUUUUCUAUAGACUAAUGUGGAGCGUUUUCUGGGAGGUCCCACAUGUGAAAUUUAAUCAAACUGUAGAACUAAAUUUGUUAUUUUUUCCCUCAUAUGUGCAAAUUUAUCUCAAGAGUUGCUCUUGCCCCAUACAAGUCAAACGUCAUUCUGGAUGAAACUCGUACUCUUUGAAGAACAAAAGUAAACUGAUGUCAGAUUGCAGCCUGAGAGGCAACGCUGAAUUUGCUCUGACAUUUUCUUGGCUAGGAAGUCAGAAUAGAGCAGGUCCAGUUUUGUACCAGUAACAGAGGAAUUAUAGGAUAGGAGCCCUACGGGUAUCAGAUCAAGGGAUAUAUGACACAUACUGAGAUUACCAGUGGGGCAAAACAAUAACUAUACUGAUAAUAACAAGAUUUGUAAGCUAUAAAACAAUGUCACCUUGAAAAUUAUUAAAUUACAGCAGGGUCGUCGCUAAAAUUACCAGGUCCUGGGACCAAUUUUUAUGGAGUCUUCCUGGUUAAUGCUCAUCAGUGAUGACACCGCUUUACAGUAAGCUUUGAUUUGAGAUAGAAUAAAGCAAUAGACCUUAUUUUCAGCAGCGCCAUCUUUGAUUUUUAACGGGAAUGAAAGCGAGGCUGUAGACAGGGAUAGACAUACAUCUCUUCAGUGGGUUGUACUGUUAUUUAAUGUGUUUUUGGAUUGUUCUGCUAACACUGUUAACACGUAACACUGCAAAAAUAUCUUUCCAAGAAAUUUCAGUAGACAAAAAACUCCCAGCAAUAUGAGCUGUGGAAAAUUAUACGUGAUCUAGGAACUUUAAUGCAGCUUUUUACAGCAGAUGCUAUUGACACGGUAAGUCUACGCCAAUUCACACCGCACAGACAAACACCAACUAACACGUUUGUAGGGUUUUGUCUGAUCAAUGUGUUACCCUUGUUGGCGUCUUUUGAAGUUGGUCGGAGUUUGUUUUCACCUGACUGACCAUGUUCAGUCAGCGUUUGUUGGUGUCUGUUGGGGCAGUGUGAACAUGACAGUUAUUUUUCAUAAAAUUCUAAAUCCAACUGCCAACUUGUUUGUUGCCGUUUGUCUGUGCAGUGUGAAUUGACCUUUAACCCUCACAGCUUCACUUUCAUACUGUCAUGGCACUGCUCUUAAUAAGGUCUAUAAGUCAAGAGAGGUCAUCCAAUACAGUAAUUUUACUGUACAUGGAAAGUGUGACAGCGGUGACAGAAAUAUGACAAAAUACACAGGUCCAAUAAAUAUUAUUGUAUAUUAUUAUAUAUAUAAGUAUUAAUAAUUAUUAAAAUAACUCUAUCCACUUGUUAAGUUGUGACGUAAGGAACGCCGUUUCUGGGUCCAAGCCUCGACUCGUUUCACUUGAGAAUGGCAUCUCCACGGCCGUUUAUGAGCACUAUUUAUUCGUAUUAAACAUUUAACAUUUUAAAGUUAAACAUUUAAAAUACAGUCUACACAACAGUCUCCGUGUUCACAGCAUCACAGACAUUAAUAUUUUAACAAUUUAUAAAAAAUGAAUCACUGUCUGGGAUUUUGGUAUGGAGAUAAAGGUUAUGAUUAUAAUUCUUUUGAAGUAUUACACCACAUCGUGUGUGUAUAUUAGCACCAUUUGUUGUUUUCUUGUGGUAUGAGAUAGAGAAUUCAUGGUUGCCACGAAACAUAUAUUAACUUGGUGCAUUAAUACAGAAUUCUACUGAUGUUCGAUGACAAGUAUCUCAUCUGUGUAUAUCAGCUAUUUACGGCUUCAGUGACAGAUAAUCCAAUCAGAAUAGAGAGUUGGAACUGUCACUUUUAUAAAUAAAAGUCUUCUCUUUGGUAAAUGUAGAUUGAAACAGAAGAUAGAUGCUAUUUCUUUAGUCUUUUUUUUUUUAAAUAUGUGACAUUGAUUCACUUAGUGGAAAAUAUUUGACAUUUAACUGGACUGCUGUUGCUCAUGGCCACAUCGUUCCACAGAUGGUCUUGUUUCCAUGCCAUAAGCAUUUAUAUGUGUUCACCCAAUAACACAGUGAUAGAUGUAAGAACUCAUCAUACAAUUAUUUAAAACUCCACCCUUAUAACCAGAGCUGCAAAAGCAAAAAAACAAAAUAUUCAUCCUGGCAGACAGUUUUUAUGCUUAGCCAGCGAAGGCCAAAAUAUUUCUUCUUGGCCUCACAAUUAGGUCAAAAUGCAUGUCAAUCAUUACUUUAGUUUGCUAAUGCAAGCGUCACUAAAUUGUUACUCAAACUAAGGGUUAGUGAUUUGAUCAUUACAAAUCAUACAACUUAAGUAGAGUUUCAAAUUCAAAUGUACACUUUUAGUGUAAAAACCACUCGAGAACAGUCUAGCUUGGCCAGUCUGUGAUGUUUUUUUUGGCUUGGUAUUUUGUCAAAAUCCAUAUUUUCCUCUGAACAUAUAUUUGUAACACUGUUUACUUUACUUAAAGGGAUAGUUCACCCAAAAAUGAAAAUUCUGCCAUCAUUUACUCACCCUCAUGUCCAAACCAAAAGAAGAUAUUUUGAAGAACAUUGUGUUGCAGAAUUAUUAUUCACCAUUGACUUUCAAUGUAUGGUCAAAAAAAGACCAAGACAUUUAUAUCAUAAUACAGUUGCAAGAAAAAGUAUGUGAACCACUUGCAGAAUAUGUGAAAAUGUUAAUAAUUUUAACAAAAUAAGGGAGAUAAUACAAAAUGCAUGUUAUUUUUUAUUUAGUACUGUCCUGAGUAAGAUAUUUUACAUAAUCCACAAGACAAAAAAAAUAGCUGAAUUUAUUAAAAUAACCCCAUUCAUAAGUUUGUAAACCAUUGAUUCUUAAUACUGUGUGUCAUUACCUGGAUGAUCCACGACUGUUUUUUUGUUUUGUGAUGGUUGUUCAUGAGUCCCUUGUUUGUCCUGAGCAGUUAAACUGAGCUCUGUUCUUCAGAAAAAUCCUCCAGGUCCUGCAGAUUCUUCAGUUUUCCAGCAUUUUUUGCAUAUUUGAACCCUUUACAGCAGUGACUGAACGAUUUUGAGAUCCAUCUUUUCACAUGGAGGACAACUGAGGGACUCAAACACAACUUUUAAAAAAGGUUCAAACAUUCACUGAUGCUUCAGAAGGAAACACGAUGCAUUAAGAGCCGGGGGGUGAAAACAUUUGGAAUUUGAAGAUCAAGGUAAAUUGUAUUUAAAUUGUAUUCCGGGAAACAUGCAAGUAUCUUCUGUUGCUUCCGAAGGGCAGUACUAAAUGAAAAAAAAAAAAAUGAUAUUCAAGCGAAAUAAGAAAAAUUUGGACCUCUUCAUCCUGUUCAAAAGUUUUAUUUGUUAAAAUUUUGCACAUUUUCACAGAUUCUGGAAGUGGUUCACAUACUUUUGUGUUCUACAGAAGUCAUACAAGUUUUUGGAACUAUUUUUUUUGCUGAACUAUCCCUUUAAGGACUAGCGAGUCAAGCACCAUUGUUGUCAUUGAGCCAAAAGUGUCUUAACUGCAAAAUUCCCUCUAGAUAUCCAAAGGUGCGGUCCGAUCCACAGACUCCCGCAGGAAACGUCGACAGCGGUGACGGUGACCCGGGCGGCUUCGCAGGUCCGCGCAGGGAGGCCGGAGUCUGGAGGCAGGGCCCGGGGGCUCGUGGCAGCGCUAGUUCAGACCUCAACAAAGGAAAUGGAGGGCUUUUGGAGAGAGCGGUGAAGGGGAGGAGGUGCAGGAUGGAGACAUUCUUCUUCUGUGCGCUCAUCUAAACAGAUUGAGUUAAAAGCUGUGCUGAGCGGCGCGGCCGAGCUCCUUUGGUGGUUUUACUGAAUCAUACGGUCUUGACCACCACGUCACUCAGGGCUUCUGUGGAGUUUUCCAGCUGUAUUGGCUCUGCGACAUUAUUUAGUGGUUCUUUCAUUCAGCAGAACCCCCGUGUUUCCGUGUGCUGCCUGGACGUCCAAGUAAAGCCACGAGUCAAAAGAGGUGUGUUUGUUCCAGGUAACCACAGGAUAGUGUGGGUCGGAAGAAUCCUGUUUACUGCUGAAAGCCGCACUGCUGCAGCUGCUCACUGGGAACAAGUGGCAAAUCCAGGGAAGCGCUUACUCACUGGUUGGACGACACAAUAGUCUUGGCGCUUGACAUAAGAAUGCGAAAGGAUCUUGAUUCUCCAGCGCAUUGUCUGGAGAGACCUCUGCACACUGUAAUGAAGUAUGAAUUCCUCUGUUUAUGAUGGAUUCACUCAGCCAUCCUGGAAAUCAAAAGAAGGAUAUGAGGAUCAGUUCAUGCUCGCGCUGAGUGUCGGUGUGUUAAAGGUUCAGAUUAUAUUUACACUGCAGACCUCAUUCAGUGACAGGAAGGCUGGAAGUGUUUAGCUGGUAGAAGGAUCCUGAAUCCAAUUCAGUUUUGUCACUCAAUGCAAAGGUCAGUGCUUUUGACAUGAUUACAACCAUAUUCAUCAUGACAUCAUUCUUGUUUACCAUGACCUUCCUGCCCUUUCCACUUCCACCAGCUAUUUAGAUUAACGCCGAAUGACAACAGAUCUUAUAGCGAUCUUUGCCGUAACAACUAACAGAACUUGACUUGCAAAUGGUGGUCGACCCACAUGGGCUUUUCAUAGACAUAAUUGCUGAAACUAAAUGAAGACUUGUUUGACACAAAUUCAUUCAAGAAAAAAAAUCGUCAGACUUCUAAAUUCAUAUAUUCAUCAUAAAUUAAAAACAAACCUCACCAGCUACCAUUAGGGGUAGGGAUGUUCAGAAAUUAUCAGUUGGCUCCCUUUUAAUUCACGAGUAUGAAUUUGAAUUGGCCAGGAAUUUGACAACGUGAAUUUACCUAUUUCUUCUUUGUCUUGAAAAACUUUUCUAGUUCAAAAUUACACUCAUAUGAAUGACUUUCAUUUCAUUUUAAUUCUGUUUUCUUACAGGAUCGUCACUAACGAAUGGUGGGACUACUUCUUGGGGACGAACGCGCCCCCUCCUCUCACCCCAAACACCCAGUCUAAUGGAGAAUAAGGGGCCCGAUAGCAAAAUAAAUUCCCAGCUAGACCUUGAAUUCAAAUGGCAAUUCUGCUUCCUGUUUGCUACUUCUAUAUGAUUCUGAAUGGUUUACAGCCCUGGUAAGUGUAGUUUGAUGGUUCAUGGUGCAUGAUUAAACAUGCUCAUUUAAAAUGAUUAAAUGUCUUAAAUUAACAUGUUAAAUUGUCAGCCUUGGUCUAUAUGAUGUUUUAUUAACAAAGUUCAGGAGGAGCACGUUCAGAUAAUUAACCUAAUUAACAUGGGAGGGGCACAUUCAGUCAAUCAACUCAAUUAUCGAGAUAAGAUGUAUACUGUAUAUACAACAGACUUACCUCUGUUCUAUGACAGUUUUCCAGCAUCCCUCCACCACCCCAUCUUCUAACUAUUCCUAUCCCAACCUGGGAUGGGGGAGUACUCUGGGUUCGUGUCAAAUUCCGAACUCCGAGCCCUCACCUUGGACAGCACGCCAAAUUCGCAUAACCUUUACUCUAUUUAAUUAUAUGUAAGUGUGAACUUGUGACACACUUAUUUUACAAUAAGUCAUUAGAGUCUAGUUAUUAUUGUAGUAAAGCUAUAGUAAUGAAGAAAGAACACGUGUAUUAAUAAAGUGCCUAUAUGUAGAACCUGUGUUAUCGGUGACACCGUUAAGUGAACUGCAGCCAACUUAUUGCUUGUGCUUGCACUCGUGCACACAUAACAUACAAGAGAUUGAACGUAAUUAAAUGAUCUGAUAUAAUCACGGCAAAGUUGUUUUUCGUUCUUCUUCACUUAGAAGUAAAAAAAUUGGAAAUCCUUUGCAGCGAUAUACUUUUAACAAACAUCCUAAUGCCGUCCAUGCUGCUGAGAGCUACGUUUAGAUGAAUAUGUAAAUAUGUGCUGUGCACUUUCCUCUCAAUUACAAAAUAAACACACAACAAAAAUGACAGUGGUGAGAAAGCAGCAGUUAAGAAAGCAUCUGAUCAUAGCGAUGUGGAUAUGUUUGCACAAGCUCUGCAAGUCACCGGCAUCAUGUCGACAGAUGACAUAAUUAAAAUUACACUGUUAUGAUAGUUUGAUUAUAAAGUAUAUCUGAGACUAUAGACUAUUUAGAGCUAUGUCAGACUAUAGUUUGAAUUAAUCCAUUUUCUUUGCAUGGCACCUUGACAUUACAGUACAGAAUGGCUCUUAUGGCAUUAUCUUGAACAUCAGCAUUCGUUUCAUGUGUCAUUGAACGGAAGAGAGACUCUUGGGAGCGUGUGAUUUCCCGGCAAAAAAAAAGGCCCAAGUGAUUCACAUAAAAAUCAGUCUACAUGCUUUCAUAGACAACCUAGGAAGUCAGGGAAGGUCUUGUUUUUUAAGUUUCAUUACAAGCUGUUUAAGCGGUUAAUACAUUAAGAUUCUUACUUAUAGCCCCUUUAAAAAAAUAAUAUUUUUAAUUAUAUUUAAUAUUUUAUAGUUGUAGUUUCUAACAAAUGCUAAUUGUCCUAGUUUUGUCUAGUGGGUUUAGUUUGGCAUUUUCAAUUUGGUGCAUCACUAUGAGGUGUCCGUGUGACUUCUAUUAAUUAGCCAAUUCAAUCAAUGACUAAAUAAUCUGCUGUCAGACACUUCUGAGGUGAGAUUAGUUAACCAAUUUGUGGACAUGAGCGGCACAGACAGUAGCUGAGGUUUGAAGCAGAACCGCACCUUGAAAGCGAGUCCCUGGUUCAUGCCAGGCAACUGCGUGGUUCGGGUGUUUUGUGUGAACAUUGAUGUGAUGUGAUGUGAAUGAGAGAUGAAGUCCAGUCCACCCGUCCAACUUCCUGAACACAAAUAAGCACCUCACUUCCACGUUUGCCUUGCCUGUUAGUGUCCAGCAGUACACAACCCAAUUACAACCACUAUGGCUUUAAUUGUGUAUGCGGUGAGUUUGCGAAUAGUAAGUAAAAUAACUUUUUGCAAAGAAAAAUAAACGACGGGGGAUUUUUCCUGGGAGGAAACCUUUAGUUUACUAUAUGACAUGUUUCUUAAUAGUGCUAAAGUGUUCUGUGUUCUUUAAAUAAACAAUGGGGAGUUUUGCAUAGAGGGGCAUGAAAGAAUGCAGGAUUUCACUGCUCCUCGCACACAUGUCAGCAAUUUGGCUGCCUUGUGUAUUUUGGAUGUUAAAAAAAAGCAGCAUUUCAAAGUAAACGAAAGAGGGAGAGUCUUAUCCGCCUGGCAGCUGCGCUCAGUACUAAAUUGCUUUCAGCUGAUACUCUGCAGCUCAAACUUGCUUGGGUAAUGUCAAGUGAUGCAUUGCAAUACUGAGAAAACAACACAGACAAAAAUAAAUAAGGGGAGAGAAAAUGUUGGAAAGUUCCUAUAUGCUUAUCCUUGGCCUUCACCUCUGAGACCCCUGUUCUGCAUUGUCCAUCUAGGCCUGAGACAAGAAGUAGACGAAAAGACAACCUUAGACCAGGACAGGAGUACAGAUUGUGAAUUAAAAUUGUAAAUUAAUAAUUACCGUUCAAAAGUUUGGAAUAAUAAUUUUUUUUUUUUUUUGCUUAGCAAGGUUGUAUUUAUUUGAACAAAAAUACUGUAAAAACAGCAAUAUUUGACCUAUAGUGACCUAUUAUUAUAGUAUAAAAUUAUUUUUUCUAUUUAAAUAUAUUUUAAUUGUAAUUUAUUUCUGUGAUCAAAGCUGAAUUUUUAGCAUCAUUACUCCAGUCUUCAGUGUCACAUGAUCCUUCAGAAGUCAUUCUAAUAUGCUGAUUUGAUGCUCAAUUAUUGUCAGUUAUUGAGUCAUUAUUGGUGCUCGAUUAUUAAAAAUGCUUUUUAAUUGUAAAAAUCUUUUGUAACAUCAUAUUGUCUUUACUGUCAUAGUUUAAUAAUUUAAUGCAUCCUUCCUGAAUCAAAUAAUAAACCUUACUUACCCCAAACUUUUGAUGGUUUACUCAAAAAAAAAAAAGGCAGUACAGAGGGAAAGAGGGAAAUGAUGUAGAAGCACCUAACCCUGGUUGUAGGCCUAAACUUGACAUCAACUGUAAACUUGUCCCUCAAAUCUGAUUGGUUAAUUGGAAUGUGGUUCCAGGAUCAACUAAGAUGUUGAUCCAGAAAAAUGUUGUACUUAGUGAAAUCACGUUCACCAUGACCUGAUAAACCUCAGUGGACCACUCUGAUGCAAGCCAGGCUUACUAUAAAAUUAUACCACAGACUUUAAUUGUCUUGAAGUGGGCCCCCUUAAUGUAGGUCUAUGGGAUUCUUUUCCCUGUUUUAUCAUCCACCAGGUGAUAAUCUUAAGUGGUGAUGUUCAUUGCAUAAGUCACCCCUGUCCAUAACCAGUAGGCCCAUAUUACUUCAUCAUGAGCUCUUCAGUGCUCUAAAAUUAAGCUCUUUUGUAAUUAGUAAUUGUUUUUGCAUAAUUACAAAGUGGACUACAUGCUUUCUUUAAGCUCUGAUCCACCCACAAAAGACCUUGAAAUGUAUCCUUUGGAGUGAAGCCACCCACCAUGCAACAUGCUAUUGGAAAAUCGUUGAAUCAACUUAGUUUCUCCUUCAAAACAGGCAAGCAUUGGUUAGGAAUAUGGAUUCGGCAAAUUUGCACCCUCAUUGUUCUACUAACUUGUAGUCUGACUAUGGUCUGACACAGAGUGCAAAGUCGUUCCCAGUAUGCUGUUGUUUAUACUGUCAGAGCCGAGGAAUCUGGAAGCAUUUGGUGGGUUAGCUCGCUGGGAGCUAUCAGACGAUUUCUUUUUAAACUAUUUUGAUAUCAGCUCUGUGGAGAGUUGACUUGCGCCUGAGAAACGAGACCUUCUGGGCUCUAAGGCCUGGCUGCACUGCAAGAAUAAACACAACAACAGGAUGAAACCACAGCCUGCCGAGGACUUUCAAGAGUUGGAACACGUCACACAGCUGUUGAGUAGUUUCAUCAUCCAUCAUUUUGGGUACUACGUACCGGAUUGGUGGAUGGGGAUGGCACUGUGUUUGUGGUGAUAUCUUGGUUUCAAUUAUCCAAGCCAUAAAGGUCAACGGCAAUCAGGAUAUUGGAAGCCCCUCUGGCCUAUAUGGCAAUUACGACUGCUUAAAUUCGAACUCUGCCACACGCUCAGACAUGUAGCCGUUCUAAAACGACAACGACCUUCACAGCAAGUCUGUUCCUUGUGACCUAUUACCCAAAUGUGUUUAUUCUAGGAGCUGCCAUUACCCUGGCCACGAUCCCACUUCAGAGCUAAUGGCUGAAAUUCCCUGCAUAAGUUUUUGUGAAAUAAUUGAUCACAUGUGAGUGUGCCGGUGCGUGUUUCCUCCAUUUUGAAGGUGAUAUCAUGCGGUCAGAGUUUUCCUGUGAUACUGUGAUUGCUUCCCUUCGCCGUGGCCAGGGCAGCGAGAUGGAGGCAUUACGCCACUGCACUGGAGUGCUCUUAUCAAAGUGUGCCGUUAUCACUAUCUCAAACUGCCCUGGACUGUGGCCACAUGGACUCAGCAAGUAUGCACUGUCUGCCAUCAACAUUACGUGGCAAGGAAAUUUGACUACAAUUAUGCUUGAAGGCCUGCAAGAUGUUUUCAAGACAAAAAUCAAGGGGGAAAUUUCGACUAGGUUUUGCAAGGGACGUCCAGCUGUUGCUCUUGUGCACGUGUUGGCUCUUUCAAAUGAACACAGUGUUGCUUUAUACAAGUAAACUUUCCUCCAAGCCAAAGAAAUCAUAAUUUGAUAAAUACCUAUGAGGACUUCAAAGGGUUUGCUUCAGAAGGAAUAACUUCUUUGGUCGAACCGGCAAGUCAAGUUUCUGGCUCUUAUGCUGUCCCACUAUAUUCACUCAGUACUCUGUCCAAACAGUUAUUUGAAUCCAAUUUUUUCGUCCAUCUUCAUUUGUUCAUCUUGCAGGGAAUGUUUUGUAUACAUCUAGUAAAACCACGGAGUACUACAACACAAUUUUGACUCCUCUCCAACACUGAGUGAAGGACCUUCUGCAUUAAUCUAACUGCUUUAUUUUUCGUAUUUUGACAAAUUUGUGUUUCCAGGAAGUGGCUGAGGUCAGCGCAGCAUCUGUUGCUACUUAUGUCCAAGAUGCAUGCGUUGCUUUGUGUUGGUUGCCAGGGAAACCAUGUCUGCACAAUCAUCUCUGAAUGGUCACAUCUUCAAAGACCCCAUGAGACUGUCAAGCCGGAUGAUUCUGACCAAACUGCAAUACUAAGGAACUCAAAAGAAAAAGUUUGGAAUGAGUGUUGUUUUGGACCCCACUGAUUUUCAUUGUAUGUAAAAGAGACACUCAAGCAUUCUUCAAAGUAUCUCUUUUUGUGCUCCACGGAUGAAGGAAAGUCGUUGUUUGGAACAACGUGAGGCUGAAUAAAUGAUUACAUGAACGUACAGUUGGAAGACGUCGCAGAUGAGUGGACAUUGGAGCUAAUUAUUUUCAGCAUAGCUACUGCAGACAUUACUGGUUGAUGGUUGAUAUCCAGUAUGUUUGCUUAUUCUUCAUGGUGACCCUAAUACAACAGAGUGACAUUGAACAAAGCAUGAUGAAUGGCCCCUGCUGAUGGCUUCCAGAGUAGAGCUGUGAUUGGAUCAAGAGUUUAGUCAGGUGUUAAAGGGAUUCUUCACCUAAAAGUGAGAACUCUGUCAUCUUUUACUCACCGUUACGUUGUUCCAAAUGCAAAAGAAAAUUUUUAAGAAUGUUUCAGCUGUUUUGUUCAUAUUAUGAAAGUCAGUGGGACCCAAAGCUCCAAGGAUAUAAAAAUAGUAUGGAAAUAAUCCAUAUAGCUCAACUGUAUAUUGUCAAUCAUCUGAAGUGAUAGAAUAAUUUUGAAUAAAAAUAGCCCAAAAUGUAAGCCUUUAUUCACUCUCAAAUCAUAUCAAAACAUGCAACAAAACAAUGUACACAAAGCCUACAUAAAAUAUGACUACAAACAUUCAAUGCCAAUUAAUGGUUCUCACACAUUGUGACAUUUGAGGUUUGUGUUGCCAUACUUUAUGUAGUGUGUGUAUGCUUGUGUUGAUUAGUGUUUUAAAUGAUCAUUGACAAGUUUAGGCUAUAUGACUUGAAGCAGCAAAUCAUUUUACCUAUUUUUGGAGUUUGACAUUUGGUCAUUAUGUUCUUUGCAUGAAACUUUUUCCUUUAGUUUUACAACGAAUUAAGAAAGUCAAACAGGUUUGGAAUGACAUGAGGGUGAUUAAAUGCUACUCUUUUUGUUAUCAUAUUUGCUGUUGCUCUUGCAAACAUCUGCAGAUCUUCCCUCCUGUCCGCUUUCUUCUGCUGCCCCUGUGGCCCCUGGAUGGAGUGAAGACGUAGCCAGGCCUCAUUUGUGUGCAGGUUUCCUUUGAGAGACAAUAGGGGGGCAGCGUAGGGACGUUCCAGGGCUGAGGGGGCAGAUUUAUUGCAAAGGAAACAGAAACGGGUGUCAGAGAGAACAAUAGGGGAUUCACACAGCAGUGUUGUCCCUAGGACAGACGCUUACUUUUAACCAGGACUCUUUCCCCUCAGCCAGGAACUCCCUUCCUACAGAGUGGCUAGAAAAGCGAGCUUCCCCAUUCAGAGAGAGCAGGAGGGACCCAGAGAAAAGAGAGAUCAACAUCUGACAGGGGGUCUGCCGCAGACCUGACAGCACACGCCUGUAGGUCAUCACAUACUGAUAUAUGGGUUCACCAGCCCCCACGUGGAGACAGUGGAGUUCCUGUCUAUACUGGCCUGCUGCCUAUUUCUUGAUAUUGAGAUGCACCGCCCAUCUCAGGCACUGCAAUCUCAAGAGCGCCCCUGCUGUCAGAUGUCAGAACUGACUGGCACACACAAAGACUACAUGUCCCCAAAAAAGUAAGCAAUUCUCAAAAAUGUAUUUCGUCACUGCAUUAGAUAAUGAAAUAUCAAACCAGGUAGGUUUUAUUUUUGGAUAGUCUAAAUACACUUUUCAAGUAAAACAUUUCACAAAAAAAAAAAAAAAGAGUUUUAAAUGAUAAAACAACAAAAUGAAGACAAAAAGUGUGUGGACUUUUUUUCAAAGGUUGGCAGAAUAUGUUAUUAGCUCAUGCAGUGUGGUUACUCUUGAUAGGACACCUGAACUGACGUCCACUAAAACUCACUGCAACACUGGUUAAAAGUAACAUCAAAAAGUGAAGCUCUAG